ACCUGAUGCCCUUUCUCCUCAACCAGUGUGGAUCCCUUCUCUAUUACCUCACCUUGGCAUCGACAGAUCUGACCCUGGCUGUGCCCAUCUGUAACUCUCUGGCCAUCAUCUUCACACUGAUUGUUGGGAAGGCCCUUGGAGAAGAUAUUGGUGGAAAACGUAAGUCAGGCUACUGCGAGUGUGGGACGCAACUCUGUGGAUCUCGACAUACCUGUGUUAGUUCCUUCCCAGAACCCAUCUCCCCAGAGUGGGUGAGGACACGGCCUUUUCCCAUCCUGCCCUUUCCUCUGCAGCUGUUUUGCUUCCUUGUGGCCAUCAGAGUUCCCUUCCCCUGGACAGUCUGGGGAAAGACAGAGGCUGGGGUGGGAUUCAGGACCAGACCCCAUCUGAGCCCUUCCUCCAGCCCUGUACCAGCUCCUACUGGCAUGGCUGAGCUCAGACCCCCUUGAUUUCUGCCUAUUAUCCCAGGAGCAGUUGCUGGCAUGGUGCUCACCGUGAUAGGAAUUUCACUCUGCAUCACAAGCUCAGUGAGUAAGACCCAGGGGCAACAGUCUACCCUUUGAGUGGGCCGAACCCACCUCCAGCUCUGCUGCCUCCAGGAAGCCCCUGGGCCAUGAAGUGCUGGCAGUGAGCGGAUGGACCUAGCACUUCCCCUCUCUGGCCUUAGCUUCCUCCUCUCUUAUGGGGAUAACAGCUACCUCAUGGAUCACAAUAAGAGAACAAGAGUGAAAGAGUUUUGUAACCUUCAAGUGCUGUUCAGCUGCGGGGAUUUAGCACAGGAGACUCUACGCUCACCCUCAGCAACCUUUCUGCCCCAGCAGCUCUCUUCCUGCUGACAUCUCAGGCCCCCAGCCCAGCCACCAUUACUGUGGCCUGAUCUGGACUAUCACAGUGGCAGGUUCCAUGGACUGCAGAACUCCAGCUGCAUGGAAAGGGCCAGCUGCAGACUUUGAGCCAGAAAUGCAAACGGGAGGCCUCUGGGGCUCAGUCAGAGCGCUUUGGCUGAAUGAGGUGUGGAACCGAGGGGAAGAAGGUGCGUCGGAGUGGCAGAUGCAGGAAAUGAGCUGUCUAUUAGCCUUGCCUGCCCCACCCAUGAGGUAGGCAGAAAUCCUCACUGCCAGCUCCUCUUAAACAGGUAGAGAGCUGUGAGCCCCAGCCCCACCUGACUCCAGCACACAGCACACCUGGCGAGUAGUAGCUGUCAAUAAAUCUGUGGUAAACAGACGGAGAUUAGUAAGUAUUCUUUUAUUGUGACAAACUCGCUCCCCCGUUUGUGGCCUGUCUCCCAGGCUCAGUCAGCUACUUCUUUCUCUGGCCAGAGAAUCCCAUAAGGAAAUAGCCCCCACAGCCAGGGCUGCUCUGCUCAGAGGCAGGGAAGGCUGGGCUGUGGGUUUAGGAGCAGGAGAACAGGAAGGGCUGAGGAGGCCGCAGUGUACCCUGUGAGCCCAGCGGAGGUGCUGGCUCCUGAGGAACAAGCUGCUGGAGGCUGAGGACAAAAGGUGGCCAGAGUAGUGGUCCCCAGUUGCCCUCUGGAGCUGCUGGCUCUCAAGAUGGCAGAGCUGGGGCUGAGGCUGAGAUAGCAGCCCCAGCCCCAGGCUGGUUUUCCAGGGACAAGGCCUCUUCCACUAUCUGUGCUGCCCUCUGGAGGAGGUGGAAGGCCAUACAGAAUGGAGCCGUGAGUAUGGUCAGCCUCCAGCUCUCAGCCAGGAGGUCCCCAACCCCAAGGAAGGAAGAAACUGGAAAUUAGGAACUGCUUCCUCAUUUAACAAGCUUACCUGAUCCAAGGGCUCCUCUGUCUGGGUGUCUUCAUCAUCUGCUACUUCCAGGGCCCCCGCUGUCUCCUUCCUUGGGUGGGGAGCUCCGUGUACUCCUAUAACUCCUAAAGAGGGGAGGCAGCAUUGGGUGAUGCCCAGGCUGAAGAGCCCUCAGCAUUCCUGCCCUGGACCUUCAUGCUAGCCCCUUUCCCUCCCCUGAACCUGGUUCUGCAUUCCCCACCACCUCCCAGGAUGGCAAGGAAGUGAGAGGUAGGCCUUUGGUCCCACCCCCAUCCCCUCUAGAUCCCACCCCUGAAGUCUCAUCGCUUUAAGCACUGCCCUUUCCAGGCGCUUCUUUUCGUGUGAUGAGGCCCUGUGAAGAAGGGACAGGAUAUACAGAUGGGGGCAGCUGGAGACAGUUAUUAUGAGUGCCGGUUUUGUGUCUGAGCAUUCUGCUCCCAUGGACAUCCCCAACAACAGCAGGGACCAACCCAUGUCACUGUCAAAGGGCAGCUGAGAAGGGCCUGAGCCCCAGGGACCCCUCACCUGAUGGGAAUGAGAGUGUGGGGAGCUUGCUUCUUGGCUGAAUGGUCUGCUGGGGUCUGGCAUAGAAAGCAGAUGGCUUAAUUCGGUCUGGUUCCUUUGGAGAGGGCUGGGUUACCUGGGCCCUGUGGCCUUGGGCCUAGAGAAGGGACACUGGGCUUGGACCCUGAUUGCUGGCCAUUCUUACCUUUCCUACUCCCCAGUUCAGGCUUCAGAGAGCCCCUGACACCUGCAGGAACAUGGCAGAGGAGAUGCUGUCUGUCUUCACAAACUACGUCCUCCCUCCUUGCUGCCUCUUCCCACCAGCCUGACUUAUCCAGGGACGGAGCAGUAGGUGCCUGGCACUCCUCGAUGCGCAGUGAAACCAGACUGUGCUUCCCCACCCCCACUGCCAUGCCCCAUGCUCACUGGCUAAUUUCUUGGGAGGGCUUAGACCUGGAUAAUAUAACUUCCCUUGGACCCUG
Molecule: small RNA, 2761 nt
Filed under: Pongo abelii (Sumatran orangutan)
Lineage: Eukaryota; Metazoa; Chordata; Mammalia; Primates; Hominidae
Description: retained intron
Source: RNAcentral